This 516-nucleotide ribosomal RNA is filed under the name uncultured bacterium. RNAcentral's name for it is "bacterial SSU rRNA". It matches the Rfam family "Bacterial small subunit ribosomal RNA", at positions 186 to 720 of the family's 1533-position model. The record is from RNAcentral.
UCGCAUGGCGCGCUGACGAAAGGGUUACUGGAUCAGGAGGGUCUCGCGGCCUAUCAGCUUGUUGGUGGGGUAACGGCCUACCAAGGCAUCGACGGGUAGCUGGUCUGAGAGGAUGAUCAGCCACACUGGGACUGAGACACGGCCCAGACUCCUACGGGAGGCAGCAGUGGGGAAUCUUGCGCAAUGGGCGAAAGCCUGACGCAGCAACGCCGCGUGCGGGAAGAAGGCCUUCGGGUUGUAAACCGCUUUCAGAAGGAACGAAACUGACGGUACUUUCAGAAGAAGGUGCGGCCAACUACGUGCCAGCAGCCGCGGUGACACGUAGGCACCAAGCGUUGUCCGGAUUUAUUGGGCGUAAAGAGCUCGUAGGCGGUUCGGUAAGUCGGGUGUGAAAACUUUGGGCUCAACCCAAAGCGUGCAUUCGAUACUGCCGUGACUAGAGUUCGGUAGGGGAGUGGGGAAUUCCUAGUGUAGCGGUGAAAUGCGCAGAUAUUAGGAGGAACACCGGUGGCGAAG